ACAUAGGACAGGGGUCGUGUUCUCCGGCUCCUCCGGUUGCUUCGCCUCUCGGAUCCUCUGCUCUUUCCCCUCCGGCAGCUACACCAAUUACAACACAACAUCAGGGACAAGGAAAAAAUGCAUGCGUAUAAUGAAAGCAACAUUUCCAUCAGUUCUACUAAUUGGUCACCAACUUCCUGGAAAUAUGAGAUAACUGAAGGAAAUACAAAUAUAGGCUAUCCUAGGCGGCAAAGUGUUUGGCAUGUCGUCAUUUGAUGCCAGUUGGCACAAGCCAUUUAUUUUAACCGGGUUAUUUGUGUAACAAGGCAUUUUUUGUAUAGCUAAGGUUUUAUAUAGCAUUUAGUAGGACCGAGUAGAACAUACCUUAAACGCAGCAACGUCGAUCAACAGCAGGAACAAACCACACAGAUACAUGCUAUUUCCUUGAUCACAGUAGCCAACCUUCACAUCACCUGCAAGAUAAACAUUAAAAUAUGGGUCCAUAAAUCAACAUGGGUUUACGGCCUAUAUGCAUCCACACACACUCGUUAGAAAAGCAGAGAUAACUAAUUAGUAAUUACUCCUCUUAACUUCUGUAGAACAUAACAAACAAGAGCUAAAAAUUGAUCCAGUAGAACCUAACACCAGCUCAUAAUAUGUCAAGUACAGAAGCAAUUCCUUUGAACAAAACACAUAAGAAAAAAAGAGCAAAAGAAAAGAAAGUGUAAGUCUAUCGAUGAUCCAACAUAGACAUAUGUUUUUGUCACUAAAUCUGCUGCAACACACUAAUAUGCAAGAAUAGCGGAUACACAAAGCCAUCUCAUACCAAGUGAAGAUAAUAUGCCAAGUAGGGAGCAACCAGCGGUGCUACACAUGCAGCAAGCUUUGCCCGUCU
This 874-nucleotide long non-coding RNA is filed under the name Triticum aestivum (bread wheat). RNAcentral describes it as "long non-coding RNA (TAES_LNC010219)". Lineage: Eukaryota; Viridiplantae; Streptophyta; Magnoliopsida; Poales; Poaceae. The record is from RNAcentral.